CAUUAUAUUUGCCAUGGUCA
This 20-nucleotide non-coding RNA is filed under the name Rattus norvegicus (Norway rat). Lineage: Eukaryota; Metazoa; Chordata; Mammalia; Rodentia; Muridae. The record is from RNAcentral.